RNAcentral lists this ribosomal RNA (255 nucleotides) under uncultured bacterium. Its description in RNAcentral is "partial 16S ribosomal RNA". It matches the Rfam family "Bacterial small subunit ribosomal RNA", at positions 524 to 776 of the family's 1533-position model. The record is from RNAcentral.
GACAUAGGUCGCAAACGUUAUCCGGAAUUAUUGGGCGUAAAGGAUGCGUAGAUGGUUCAGUAAGUUACUGGUGGGAAAUCGAGGCCCAACCUCGUGGAAGUUAGUAAUACUGUUGAACUUGAGUGCAGGAGAGGUUAACGGAACUUCAUGUGGAGCGGUAAAAUGCGUAGAUAUAUGAAAGAACAUAAAUAUAGCGAAGGCAGUUAACUAUUCUGCUACUGACAUUGAGGCAUGAAAGCGUGGGGAGCAAAACGG